UUCUAAGAAGUCAACAUCUGUAUGAAUUUCUCAAGUUUCUCAACUGUAUGAGAAAUGAGGCAGUGACAACUUGUAUCAGUAGUAUACAGUGCUGUGCAUAUGCCAAGAAAUCUGUGAGUGAACCUGUCCUGGAGAUGUGCACUGUGGGCUUUCCAUGAACCCUCACAUUUCAUACCCCACUACUGGGACUGCCUGCCAGGAAUGUGCCCUUUGCCCUCGCUGAAGGAGAGAAUCCGUUUGCAGAUUCAUCCCUCUCACCCCAGAUCAUCUGGAACAGCUUUCUGGAACAGGUGCAUGCCAUCAGCAUCCUAUAGGGCCUAUCUGUAUCUGUCCAAAUGUUCUGGCAGGAGACAAUAGCCAAUGUUGAUUUGCUGCUGUUUGGGAUGAGGAAAGAAAACUGAUGUGGUUAGCAAACUGUUAACAAGCUGUUAGCAAACUAAUCUUUUUUUUCUUUGUUAAAUGUAAGCAUGCACCAUAUUCUUUCUCUUAAGCUGCAUUAUUUUAGGUUUGAAAUGGAAAAAGAAAUAAAAACUCAUUAAAAAUCAUAUGUUCCCUUGAGAUCGCUCUCAACAAACGCCUGUGCAAACUGCCAGACAUGAGAGGAGCAAGUAGAUGCUGUUUAUGAGCCUUACCUUACUACUUUUUAUGGAAAUGAGCAGAUAAAUAAAGAUGGUCUGCAAGUGAGAAGGGAGGUCAGAUUUCCAAAGCCAGCUCUAAAGUAAAUCUGAAUCCAUAUCUUGUCUUACAAUGGGAACUGGACUGCACAGCC
This 769-nucleotide long non-coding RNA is filed under the name Gallus gallus (chicken). RNAcentral's name for it is "lncRNA (ENSGALG00010005135.1)". Lineage: Eukaryota; Metazoa; Chordata; Aves; Galliformes; Phasianidae. The record is from RNAcentral.